UACAGAGGGGGCAAGCGUUGUUCGGAAUUACUGGGCGUAAAGGGCGCGUAGGCGGCCUGUUAAGUCGGACGUGAAAUCCCCGGGCUCAACCCGGGAACUGCAUCCGAUACUGGCAGGCUUGAAUUCGGGAGAGGGAUGCGGAAUUCCAGGUGUAGCGGUGAAAUGCGUAGAUAUCUGGAGGAACACCGGUGGCGAAGGCGGCAUCCUGGACCGACAUUGACGCUGAGGCGCGAAAGCCAGGGGAGCAAACGGG
Molecule: ribosomal RNA, 253 nt
Filed under: uncultured bacterium
Lineage: Bacteria
Description: partial 16S ribosomal RNA
Rfam family: Bacterial small subunit ribosomal RNA
Source: RNAcentral